ACGGGGGCAACCCUGGUGGCGAGUGGCGAACGGGUGAGUAAUACAUCGGAACGUGUCCUGUAGUGGGGGAUAGCCCGGCGAAAGCCGGAUUAAUACCGCAUACGAUCUACGGAAGAAAGCGGGGGAUCGAAAGACCUCGCGCUAUAGGGGCGGCCGAUGGCAGAUUAGCUAGUUGGUGGGGUAAAGGCCUACCAAGGCGACGAUCUGUAGCUGGUCUGAGAGGACGACCAGCCACACUGGGACUGAGACACGGCCCAGACUCCUACGGGAGGCAGCAGUGGGGAAUUUUGGACAAUGGGGGAAACCCUGAUCCAGCAAUGCCGCGUGUGUGAAGAAGGCCUUCGGGUUGUAAAGCACUUUUGUCCGGAAAGAAAACUUCUGCCCUAAUACGGCGGGAGGAUGACGGUACCGGAAGAAUAAGCACCGGCUAACUACGUGCCAGCAGCCGCGGUAAUACGUAGGGUGCGAGCGUUAAUCGGAAUUACUGGGCGUAAAGCGUGCGCAGGCGGUUCGUUAAGACAGAUGUGAAAUCCCCGGGCUUAACCUGGGAACUGCAUUUGUGACUGGCGAGCUAGAGUAUGGCAGAGGGGGGUAGAAUUCCACGUGUAGCAGUGAAAUGCGUAGAGAUGUGGAGGAAUACCGAUGGCGAAGGCAGCCCCCUGGGCCAAUACUGACGCUCAUGCACGAAAGCGUGGGGAGCAAACAGGAUUAGAUACCCUGGUAGUCCACGCCCUAAACGAUGUCAACUAGUUGUUGGGUCUUCAUUGACUUAGUAACGUAGCUAACGCGUGAAGUUGACCGCCUGGGGAGUACGGUCGCAAGAUUAAAACUCAAAGGAAUUGACGGGGACCCGCACAAGCGGUGGAUGAUGUGGAUUAAUUCGAUGCAACGCGAAAAACCUUACCUACCCUUGACAUGGUCGGAACCCUGCUGAAAGGUGGGGGUGCUCGANAAGAGAACCGAUACACAGGUGCUGCAUGGNCUGUCGUCAGCUCGUGUCGUGAGAUGUUGGGUUAAGUCCCGCAACGAGCGCAACCCUUGUCCUUAGUUGCUACGCAAGAGCACUCUAAGGAGACUGCCGGUGACAAACCGGAGGAAGGUGGGGAUGACGUCAAGUCCUCAUGGCCCUUAUGGGUAGGGCUUCACACGUCAUACAAUGGUCGGAACAGAGGGCUGCCAACCCGUGAGGGGGAGCUAAUCCCAGAAAACCGAUCGUAGUCCGGAUCGUAGUCUGCAACUCGACUACGUGAAGCUGGAAUCGCUAGUAAUCGCGGAUCAGC
Molecule: ribosomal RNA, 1280 nt
Filed under: Caballeronia udeis
Lineage: Bacteria; Pseudomonadati; Pseudomonadota; Betaproteobacteria; Burkholderiales; Burkholderiaceae
Description: bacterial SSU rRNA
Rfam family: Bacterial small subunit ribosomal RNA
Source: RNAcentral